This 553-nucleotide long non-coding RNA is filed under the name Olea europaea subsp. europaea. The record is from RNAcentral. Lineage: Eukaryota; Viridiplantae; Streptophyta; Magnoliopsida; Lamiales; Oleaceae.
GAUUUUCUUAUUCUUAGAUGAUUCUAAAUUGAAAAUUUACAUACUACCAUGUUGAUAUAAAACUUCCAAGCACAUGACAAAUUAAUAUCCUUUGUAUGUGCAUCAUAAUGGGAAUUCAAACAACAAAUCAACAACACAUUCGCACAACAUAUCAACGAAAGAUAUGGACUUUCCAUAUGGCAUUGCUCAAACCUAUUCAAAACGUAUUAUCCUGCGCUAUUUUCCAUUUUAGACCUCCUAAACAUCAACAUGGCUUCUCAUUAUUUCUAGAAUCAAAUAUAAAAAAUUUCGGAAACAGCGUACAUAACAGUUGCAUACACUCACAAUACAAUUACACAGAAAACAAGUCUAAAAAUAGAAAAAUAAAUCGGCGCGAAUAAAUAUCAAAUACAAUUGCACAAAAUACCUUGCCGGAGCGCUUCAGGUGAGCGGCGUAGGCCUUCACGAACUCGUGUGGAGAGACGUCCUUCACAGUUUUAGCAGUCGCCAUUGAUGCAGCAGAUCUCGAAUCACAGUAGCUCCCAAGACCACUUCCCUAUAAACGAUGGUUUUU